Long non-coding RNA from Seriola aureovittata, 1184 nucleotides. RefSeq lists it as uncharacterized. The record is from RefSeq and is a predicted model, not a curated record. The transcript is spliced from 3 exons. Lineage: Eukaryota; Metazoa; Chordata; Actinopteri; Carangiformes; Carangidae.
CAGAUAAACAUCAGAAACACAAGAGGUUCACAGGAACAAACACUGGACACUUCAUCAGGACAGAGGACAAAGAGUUGCUGGUUGAAUUCUGUUCAAACCCCUUCAACCUUUAGCAGCUGCUGGUGUCAGCUACUGGUCUGCAGCGCCCUCUGCUGACGUCACUGUGCUCAGUAGAAACAACAUAACCACACAUCUCAGUAAAAGACCUUCUGACAGAAUAAACAGGUACCUGUGAAACACAACACAACACAAUCAGAGCCGAACUCUGAGACGGCGACGACUUUCCAGUCCCACUUCUGUGAUCUUCAGGUGUCCACUGUCCCGGGUUUAUAAGGUCAUCAGAGAGAACCUGACAGUAUGAAUCACCUGUUACAUCACAGUACAUUUAUUCUGCAGGUGAUUUUGACCAAAGCAACGUAGAAGAAUCAUAUUCAGACUCAACACCAGCACAAUGUCACAGAGGUCAUCAGUAACUGGGGGUGAAAUCCUCCCAAAUGAACGACUAACAGCCAGUAAACUAAAUCACAACUGCUGCAGACGGACGUUGGGCCAGAAUGAUGAAGAGUCUUGACUGAGACGAAGAGCGCAACGUCCCGAAGACCCAGAAGCUCCAGAAUCCAGCAUGAGUUACUGUCUGAUCUGACCUUUACCUGACAGUUUGCUUCAGAACCAGUUCACUCUGUGACUAUCCAGACUCACCUGAGCUCUGGGCCUCACGCAGGAACGUUUUCAGACUUUUAUCUUAAACUUCUCUUGAUUUUCUUGGUCAUUUUGCUCGUAUGAGAGUUUUAACUUUCUUAACUGGACGACUUUGUCAUGAACCUCCUCAUCCUGAAGAGGUGCUCAGUCCUCAGAUUUCAUCAUUAGUAUAAUUGGUGACGUCACAAAGUGACGUCACCUCUGACUCUGACAGUGACGGAUGAUGAAUCUUGUCCAGCUGCUGCUGAGAAGUGAAAUAAGAGAAUCAUCUGAUGUUAGACUGAAGCUGUUUCAGUUCAUGUGAGGAGGAUUUCAGAUUCAAUAAAAGUUUGUUAAUGUUUCUCAUCUUUGGUUGAAGGAGUUGAUUAAACUAACCAUGUUAAACACACACUGUACUCCACUGCUCAUACAUGAAGGUCAGUUCUAAUAAAGUUAAGCUUUGUUCUGAUCCUGUCUUUUCCAUAUGAACAUGUCUCCUUACCUGU